GACGAACGCUGGCGGCGUGCUUAACACAUGCAAGUCGAACGGAAAGGCCCUGCUUUUGUGGGGUGCUCGAGUGGCGAACGGGUGAGUAACACGUGAGUAACCUGCCCUUGACUUUGGGAUAACUUCAGGAAACUGGGGCUAAUACCGGAUAGGAGCUCCUGCUGCAUGGUGGGGGUUGGAAAGUUUCGGCGGUUGGGGAUGGACUCGCGGCUUAUCAGCUUGUUGGUGGGGUAGUGGCUUACCAAGGCUUUGACGGGUAGCCGGCCUGAGAGGGUGACCGGCCACAUUGGGACUGAGAUACGGCCCAGACUCCUACGGGACGCAGCAGUGGGGAAUAUUGCACAAUGGGAGGAAGCCUGAUGCAGCAACGCCGCGUGCGGGAUGACGGCCUUCGGGUUGUAAACCGCUUUCGCCUGUGACGAAGCGUGAGUGACGGUAAUGGGUAAAGAAGCACCGGCUAACUACGUG
RNAcentral lists this ribosomal RNA (468 nucleotides) under uncultured bacterium. RNAcentral describes it as "partial 16S ribosomal RNA". It matches the Rfam family "Bacterial small subunit ribosomal RNA", at positions 28 to 507 of the family's 1533-position model. The record is from RNAcentral.